GGCACGGGGAGCCGGCGCCCCCCCAGAGGCAGCGCUCGCCCCAGCAGCUGCGCCCUGGGCUGCGGGGCCCAAGCCCUACGGGGAGGAGAGGCCGCGUUCCCCGCCGGGCCAGCGCCCCUGCAGUCUCAGCCUGGGGUGCGUGGCACCUGGGCCACCAAACGGGGCCACGCUUGCCCGGCCCGGGACCUGGCGCCCCCAGCCCCGGCCCUGGGUUGUCCGUCGGGGGGCACGGGGCGGGGGCUGCACUCCUGCCUCCUCACCGUGCUACUCAAAUUCCCAGAGCUCCAGGUGCAAGAUGUGCGACUCCGUGUGACUUAAUGCACAGUGUUCUAAUGCGUGUGAUGUAGAUGGGGCCUCGGAAGAUGUAAUAACAGACUCUCACCCCUGUAGGGCCAGUGCGUUCCCACGGUAAGGGAUGCCCACGGCCAGGGGGCUCAGCGACAGGCUCUGCCUUGGACCCAGGUGGUGACCCCAGGGCCCGGGAUCGAUUCCCCCAUGGGGCUCCCCGCAGGGAGCCUGCUGCUCCCUCUGCCCGUGUCUCUGCCUCUCUCUGUGUCUCAUGAAUAAAUACAUAAAAUCUUAAAAAAAAAAAAAAAAAGGAAAGGAAGAUGCCNCCAUAUACGUAGCACAAUCACAGAAAUCUGCUUGGUGUCCCCGCCUCCUUCAUCCCUGUCCCUACAGCCGGGGACUCUUCAGCAGCCUCCUCCUCCUGUCUUUCUGACGUUUUCCCGGCGUAUGCUCACACACACGUGUGCACACUGUCUGCUCACACCGGCGGGAUUACAUCGCAGCAUUGUACUGGCUACAGGACCCACGGGGCACAAGAGACACACGCCCCGGCCGGGGGACGCCGCCUCUUCACCUCAGAUGUCUCUUGCACAUUGACUGGAAAUGGCUGUUGGGAACCCGACUCCGGGGAAUCUCUGCGACCCCGGACCGCCCGUGGCUGCUUUGCACGCGCUGUGCCCGGGCACGUGCAGAAGCUGCGUGUGGCCCUUGUGCCAGGCCCCGCGCCCGCCUUCCUCCGGCUCCGGCACCAGGGCAGAGGCGGCGCCAGCUCUCCCUCGUCCUCCCAGGGCCAACAGGCUUGUGGUGACAGGGCCCACGCUCCCUCUCCGCACGUCCCUCCACGGCCUUGUCACACCCCUGGGGGUGUCCAGGGUUCACAACUGCUCGGGCACCUCGACUGGCGCCGAGCCGAUGGCACCUACAAGCCGCUCGUUGUCGGGUGACUUCGGAUCCUCACAGGUGUUGACAGAUGUCGAGGUGGGGGUCUCGGGACCAACUGAUGAAACGUGGGACCUUUUCUGCAUCUUCCCUGUCUCGCCCCCUGAAGGUGUAUCGGGCCAGGAGAGUUGACCACCUGCACUCAUUUCUACUGCUAGGUAACGGAUCACUGCACCCAGAGCAGAGUAGAACAACUCCUGUUUGUUGACCCCCAGUUUCCAUGGUUCGGGAGUCUACACAGUUUAGAUGGUUUCUCACGAGGCUGAAAUCAGGGCGGCAUCGUCGGCUGGAAGCUCCGGGUACGGGAAGGCCUGCCUCAAAGCUCCCUGAGAUCAUUGGCAGAAUUGAGUUCCUUAGGGCUGUAGGACUGACGGUCCUCCUAGCUGUUGGUUGGGGCUGCUCCUAGGGGACCUAGUGGCUGCCCCCGUCUGCCAUGGGGGCCUCCCCCGAGUCAGAGCCCUCACAGCCUGAGCUCUUCAACUUCCUCUUCCCUGACUGGCUGAAGAAAACUGCUGUCAAAGUGCUCUUGCCUGAAAGUUCCCACAGGCUCACCCGGAUAAUGUUCCUAGUCUAAGGCCGGUCAACUGUGCCAUAACAUCACCUCAUCUCAGGCAGAAACCAGCAUUUUCACAGCCCCGGGGAUUAUUCAGGGGAGGUACAGCCCGGGUGCAGGGAAUCUUGGGGUCCUCCCCACCACUCAACACACCACCUGAAAGGGGUGUGCAGAGAGACCUCUACAUGGGGCAGGGGGGUAUUCUCGAGCGAGGCACAGGUGUGUGUGUGUGUGUGUGUGUGUGUGUGUGUGUGUGAGAAGGACCUUCAGG
Molecule: long non-coding RNA, 2051 nt
Organism: Vulpes vulpes (red fox)
Lineage: Eukaryota; Metazoa; Chordata; Mammalia; Carnivora; Canidae
Source: Ensembl